AGGAUGAACGCUGGCGGCGUGCCUAACACAUGCAAGUCGAACGUCCUGUCUCGCAAGAGGCAGGGAGUGGCGGACGGGUGAGUACCACGUGGGUUAUCUACCGUGAGGUGAGGAAUACCGGCGAGAAAUCGCCGACAAGACCGCAUAGCCUCGGUGCAAGCCGAGGAAAGCUUUCUCGAGAGAGGGAGCGCCACACGAGGAGCCUGCGCCCGAUUAGCUAGCUGGUGGAGUAACGGUUCACCAGGGCGACGAUCGGUAGCUGGUCUGAGAGGACGAUCAGCCACACUGGGAUUGAGAACGGCCCAGACUCCUACGGGGGGCAGCAGUGAGGAAUUUUCGUCAAUGGGGGCAACCCUGAACGAGCAACGCCGCGUGCAGGAAGAAGGUUUUCGGAUCGUAAACUGCUUUUCUCGGGGAAGAGAACGGACGGUACCCGAGGAAUCAGCCCGGCUAACUACGCGCCAGCAGCCGCGGUAA
Molecule: ribosomal RNA, 477 nt
Filed under: uncultured bacterium
Lineage: Bacteria
Description: SSU rRNA
Rfam family: Bacterial small subunit ribosomal RNA
Source: RNAcentral